ACGCUCGACACCUACGGGAGCAGCAGUGGGGAAUAUUGCACAAUGGGGGAAACCCUGAUGCAGCGACGCCGCGUGAAGGAAGAAGUAUCUCGGUAUGUAAACUUCUAUCAGCAGGGAAGAAAAUGACGGUACCUGACUAAGAAGCCCCGGCUAACUACGUGCCAGCAGCCCGGUAAUCUGAGCGGGCUGGCAAGGC
This 196-nucleotide ribosomal RNA is filed under the name uncultured bacterium. RNAcentral's name for it is "partial 16S ribosomal RNA". It matches the Rfam family "Bacterial small subunit ribosomal RNA", at positions 328 to 539 of the family's 1533-position model. The record is from RNAcentral.